This 450-nucleotide ribosomal RNA is filed under the name uncultured bacterium. RNAcentral's name for it is "partial 16S ribosomal RNA". It matches the Rfam family "Bacterial small subunit ribosomal RNA", at positions 354 to 796 of the family's 1533-position model. The record is from RNAcentral.
GUGGGGAAUAUUGGACAAUGGGCGCAAGCCUGAUCCAGCAAUGCCGCGUGCAGGAAGAAGGCCUUCGGGUUGUAAACUGCUUUUGUACGGAACGAAACGGUCCGGGUUAAUACCCUGGGCUAAUGACGGUACCGUAAGAAUAAGCACCGGCUAACUACGUGCCAGCAGCCGCGGUAAUACGUAGGGUGCAAGCGUUAAUCGGAAUUACUGGGCGUAAAGCGUGCGCAGGCGGUUUUGUAAGACAGGCGUGAAAUCCCCGGGCUCAACCUGGGAAUUGCGCUUGUGACUGCAAGGCUGGAGUGCGGCAGAGGGGGAUGGAAUUCCGCGUGUAGCAGUGAAAUGCGUAGAUAUGCGGAGGAACACCGAUGGCGAAGGCAAUCCCCUGGGCCUGCACUGACGCUCAUGCACGAAAGCGUGGGGAGCAAACAGGAUUAGAAACCCGAGUAGUCC